CCUACGGGGGGCAGCAGUGAGGAAUAUUGGUCAAUGGGCGGGAGCCUGAACCAGCCAAGUCGCGUGAGGGAAGACGGUCCUAUGGAUUGUAAACCUCUUUAGGCGGGGAGCAAUGCCGGGCACGCGUGCCCGGAGGGAGAGUACCCGCAGAAUAAGCAUCGGCUAACUCCGUGCCAGCAGCCGCGGUAAUACGGAGGAUGCGAGCGUUAUCCGGAUUUAUUGGGGUAAAGGGGUGCGUAGGCGGAUUGUUAAGUCAGCGGUAAAACGUUCGGGCUCAACCCGGGCCGGCCGUUGAAACUGGGGAGCUUGAGUGGGCGAGAAGUAUGCGGAAUGCGUGGUGUAGCGGUGAAAUGCAUAGAUAUCACGCAGAACUCCGAUUGCGAAGGCAGCAUACCGGCGCCCGACUGACGCUGAGGCACGAAAGCGUGGGGAUCGAACAGGAUUAGAUACCCUAGUAGUC
This 460-nucleotide ribosomal RNA is filed under the name uncultured bacterium. RNAcentral's name for it is "partial 16S ribosomal RNA". It matches the Rfam family "Bacterial small subunit ribosomal RNA", at positions 338 to 795 of the family's 1533-position model. The record is from RNAcentral.